RNAcentral lists this ribosomal RNA (399 nucleotides) under uncultured bacterium. Its description in RNAcentral is "bacterial SSU rRNA". It matches the Rfam family "Bacterial small subunit ribosomal RNA", at positions 359 to 776 of the family's 1533-position model. The record is from RNAcentral.
GAAUAUUGCACAAUGGAGGAAACUCUGAUGCAGCGACGCCGCGUGAACGAUGAAGGCUUUCGAGUCGUAAAGUUCUGUCCUAGGGGACGAUAAUGACGGUACCCUAGGAGGAAGCCCCGGCUAACUACGUGCCAGCAGCCGCGGUAAUACGUAGGGGGCAAGCGUUGUCCGGAUUUAUUGGGCGUAAAGGGUUCGCAGGCGGCCUUUUAAGUCAGAUGUGAAAGACUACAGCUCAACUGUGGUAAGCAUUUGAAACUGAAAGGCUUGAGUUAAGGAGAGGAAAGUGGAAUUCCUAGUGUAGCGGUGAAAUGCGUAGAUAUUAGGAGGAAUACCAGUGGCGAAGGCGACUUUCUGGACUUAUACUGACGCUGAGGAACGAAAGCGUGGGGAGCAAACAGG